Molecule: ribosomal RNA, 432 nt
Filed under: Triticum aestivum (bread wheat)
Lineage: Eukaryota; Viridiplantae; Streptophyta; Magnoliopsida; Poales; Poaceae
Description: partial small subunit ribosomal RNA
Source: RNAcentral
AUGAGGAACUUGAAAAACGAGAAAACAAAAAUUUAUCCCUCAACUACGAGGGGAGGUAAGGAAUUGCCAUCUAACUCUGCACUUGAUUCACCUUCUGUUUUGAAUAAGCUUGUGACACCUAAAUCUGCUUCUGCUAUUAAUUCUGAUAUGUCGCAUGUUAUUGAUAAUGCCACUUCUGCUAUGCAUGAUACUUAUGAUGAAACUACUUCUAUGCUUAUACUACUGUGCCACUUGGUAAAUUUCUUGAUGAACAACUUGCUAGGGCUAGAGAGAAUGAAAUUAUUGAAACUGAUAAUAUUGAUGAAAGUGAUGAUGAAGACUCUCCCAAUAAAUAUGAAUUGCCUGUUGUGCCUGAGGGCUAUGUUAUGGAUGAAGAAACUGCUAGAGACUUUCUUGCUUGCAAUGAUAGAAGUGAUCUUUAGAAAUUAUUAG